AGCUGUAGGCACAAGAAAUAUCUAGUGAUGUCUUCAGUCAAUUGAGACGGAUCAGGAGGAUAAAAUUUCACAUUAAAAGUGAACAGCCAAGGUAAACUUCGAAUUUGUCUCUUAAUUUCCUUUGAAGAAUCUAGCCAGUUCUUCUGAUCUGAAUUCUCAUAAAACAACAGCCCAAAAUAGUCUUUUUCCAGUAAAUUGAGAUGUUCACACACUUUGUCAAAUAGAAUUUGUCCUUUUGCUUUUUUCUCUAGAUCACAGCUGUAUUCUGUGCCAUCCAGGAGCACCACUUUACACUGCACAGUUUUAAUUUUCUUAGGAGGUUUCUGGGGAAUACUUUCAGCUGUCUGCACUUCUUUUGUCUCCCUUUUUUCCUUUUCUUCUUUUUCUUCUGUAACCUUUUCUACUUCCAUUUCUUUACCAUCUUCUUUGGCAGGCUGUGUUUCUGCACUACUAACAGAGUGUUUUUCUUCUUUGUCAUCUGCUUUAGCAUUAUUUUCAGCAACUGUUUCUAAGCUCCUUUUUGGCUGAGCCAUCCCCUCAGAUGGAUGGCUUUCACUUUCUUCAGCUACUUGUUCUUCCCCUGUUGCUCUUUUCUUGGACUCAUCUUUGGGCUCUGCCAAGGUAUAGGAUUUUUGUUUCUUAAGCCAGGGAGGAAGGAAACGAGAAAUACCCUUGCUUUCAGAUGAAUCUUUUUCCUUCUUCUGGCUACUUGGGCUACUAGGGCUAGUUGGUGCUGGGACAGGAGAAUCUUGAGUUUCUUCAGAGGAUGCUUUCCUGGACUUAUCAUUUCCUGGAGUUUCUGAGGCUUCUUCAGGUUUGCCCUUAGCUUUGUCUGGUCCCACUUGCUCAGCAUCUUUCUUGACUUCAGUCUCUGAGCCAACUUCAGUUGUCAUUGUCACAGCUUACACUUUAACGCCACUGCAAGUCUUGAAGGCUUGUAGAACGCGAUCCAACUACGACAACUGGAUAACAGCCCAAUGUCUUCUUGAU
Molecule: long non-coding RNA, 990 nt
Filed under: Gallus gallus (chicken)
Lineage: Eukaryota; Metazoa; Chordata; Aves; Galliformes; Phasianidae
Source: RNAcentral